CCGCGGUGAUGAUCCCCCUUUGAACUCUCUCUUACCGACAGCCCCGUGGGGAAAAGAACGAACGGGAUCUGAGCGGU
Molecule: small nucleolar RNA, 77 nt
Filed under: Colius striatus (speckled mousebird)
Lineage: Eukaryota; Metazoa; Chordata; Aves; Coliiformes; Coliidae
Description: Small nucleolar RNA SNORD26
Rfam family: Small nucleolar RNA SNORD26
About the family: U26 is a member of the C/D class of snoRNA which contain the C (UGAUGA) and D (CUGA) box motifs. U26 is encoded within the U22 snoRNA host gene (UHG) in mammals and is thought to act as a 2'-O-ribose methylation guide for ribosomal RNA.
Source: Rfam by way of RNAcentral